AGCGCCCUCCAGCUGAGACAUCACGUGUCUGAAAUAGCGCCUGUGUUACAGCCCACAAAAUGGUUGGCUCUGUUUUCACGCGGCGCACCGGAUCCUCCCUGCCAGGGCUUUACUGACUGGGGCCCCUCUGCCCGCGCUUGGGUGCUGCACCCGCUCUGCAGCAGUGCCACGGAGGGGAGGAGGCCCCCGAAUCCGCAGCACCGCCGGGUGCCCAGCGUGCGCCGUGGGGCCCAUCGCUUCAGGGAGGGGGGGAAGAGCAGGCGGUGGGCGUACCUUUGGGGAAGGAGGUGCCAUUCUUGACAUAUCCCAUCUGCUCUGUGCUUACUUACCAGGGUUUGGAGCAUUUGAGGCACUGCCAGAGGAAUUAUUUGUGUUUCCAUUUCCACUUCUUCAGAUGUUUCUGCCCUGAUCUCUGCCUUUAGAAGUGCGACGCUUGUCGGUCGUGGGUGCGGCCUGCUGCGAGAUAGCCAUUCCCACUACACAACCAAGAUGGU
Molecule: RNA transcript, 494 nt
Organism: Dromaius novaehollandiae (emu)
Lineage: Eukaryota; Metazoa; Chordata; Aves; Casuariiformes; Dromaiidae
Gene: SMIM11
Gene name: small integral membrane protein 11
Exons: 3
Source: RefSeq, a predicted model, not a curated record